RNAcentral lists this transfer RNA (70 nucleotides) under Ziphius cavirostris (Cuvier's beaked whale). RNAcentral describes it as "tRNA-His". It matches the Rfam family "tRNA". Rfam says of the family: Transfer RNA (tRNA) molecules are approximately 80 nucleotides in length. Their secondary structure includes four short double-helical elements and three loops (D, anti-codon, and T loops). Lineage: Eukaryota; Metazoa; Chordata; Mammalia; Artiodactyla; Ziphiidae. The record is from RNAcentral.
GUAAAUAUAAUUUAACAAAAAUACUAGUUUGUGAAACUAGCAAUAGAAGAUAUAGACCUUCUUAUUUACC